AGCAGCCGCGGUAAUUCCAGCUCCAAUAGCGUAUAUUAAAGUUGCUGUAGUUAAAAAGCUCGUAGUUGAAUUUCGGGAUCAAUAUGUUGGUCGUGCCUCGGUACGUACUAGCUUAUUGGUUUCUUCCUUCUGACGAACCAUAAUGUCAUUUAUUUGGUGUUAUGGGGAAUCAGGACUGUUACUUUAGAAAAAAUUAGAGUGUUUAAAGCAGGCUCACGCUUGAAUACAUUAGCAUGGAAUAA
This 242-nucleotide ribosomal RNA is filed under the name uncultured Glomus. RNAcentral's name for it is "partial 18S ribosomal RNA". It matches the Rfam family "Eukaryotic small subunit ribosomal RNA", at positions 569 to 817 of the family's 1831-position model. The record is from RNAcentral. Lineage: Eukaryota; Fungi; Glomeromycota; Glomeromycetes; Glomerales; Glomeraceae.